UGCGUAAAAAGUAUAAAAACAUGCUUUGAAUGGUACACACCAGGGCAGUGGUCACCAGUGGAGAUGAAAGAGGAGAUGAAUGAGGUCAUGGAAGGGUACAGAGAAGGCCUCAACAGUAUCUGUAAUGUAUUAUUUAUGUAAAAGAAAAGAAUGAAUGAAAUAUAACAAAAUAUUGAUUUGUUACGGUUGAGUGCUGAGUGGGCUACAGUUUCCCUCUGAUUUCCUUGAGAAGUUAUUUUUCCAUAAACACUCUUCAUUUUUAGCUAUACCCCUUUGUUCUUUCUCAGUAGGAGAGAAAGUUACCUGAUUGGUGUGUUUGGAGAGGAACUGGACAUUCCCAACUUAGCACCUCUCUCCUCCUCUCUGCAGAGAGCUUGUGCCCUGGUCUGCUGUUGGCUACAAGAUGAAUUUAGAAGAAUAAGUCUAUAUCCUUCCACCUGGACUUUAAUGCCUGAGCGCUUAUUAAAAUAUAAAAUAAUCUUUACUCCUGAAAAGGAAUGAAAUGGUGUUUUUAAAAGAAGAAGAAAGAAAAUACAAUCCUAAGAAAGAAAAAUCCAGAGACUUUCCUCGUUCAAAAUGGCCAGAGACAACGCUGGAACAGCGAGAUGCAAAAAUCCUGAGCCUUCAAAGCCAGCUCCUGAAGAAGAGAGAGGGCCUGGCAGCUGAGCUGGAUGCUUCAGGAGCAGAGGAUCUAUCAACUGCAGACCAAGCAUAGGGAGACGCAGGCAGACCUGGAACAGAAACCCGGCCAGCUCCAGCCGCUCCAACAGUUCUUGGUAGCCAGACAGUCGGCAGCAGGAAGCAUGCCACGGGCCACGAGGCAGGAAAUGACCCAAUCCUCGA
Aethalodelphis obliquidens (Pacific white-sided dolphin) is the source of this 843-nucleotide long non-coding RNA. RefSeq lists it as uncharacterized. The record is from RefSeq and is a predicted model, not a curated record. NCBI's taxonomy places the organism in Eukaryota, Metazoa, Chordata, Mammalia, Artiodactyla, Delphinidae. The transcript is spliced from 5 exons.